Molecule: long non-coding RNA, 576 nt
Organism: Mytilus trossulus (common blue mussel)
Lineage: Eukaryota; Metazoa; Mollusca; Bivalvia; Mytilida; Mytilidae
Exons: 3
Source: RefSeq, a predicted model, not a curated record
AACGAUAUAUAUUUUCUAAUUCAUUCUCUUGCAGUCGUGAAAGUCAGUUUUAAAAAUGAACACAAAGGUAGCCAUUUGUCUGAUCCUUCCGUGCAUCAUCGCACUGGUUUCUUGUGCUUAUUUACCUGGUAACUAUGGAUACCAACAACCAAGACAGGUAGCUCCUUAUGCAAACUAUGCUGCCAAUAGUUACCAGGGUCUGAAACAGGCUAAACUCUUCAACUACCUUCUCGGAGGAUUAUACUUCUUAAACCUCUUUAACUUCACCGGAAACAGAAUUGCUGGUUAGAGAACAUUUUCAUGAGAAUACAGACGAGGUUUACAAGCAGUAUGAUGUACAGUCAUUGUCAAGAUGUAUGCGGGAGUGUCGAACAUCCAACACCAGAUAAAAAGAUCUUUUCUCAUCGUUCAACUAAGUUGUAGCAUAAUACCCCGUGUAUACACUUUUGUUAAUGUGAACAUCUUUCAUUCCUUUAAUCUAAAUUGUCUGUAUUUUAAUGCCUUGUUUGUUGAGGCAGUACAUUAUUGUUGUGAUAUGUUCUACAACAAUUGUGAAUAAAAAUAUAUCUUUACCAA